This 25-nucleotide non-coding RNA is filed under the name Mus musculus (house mouse). The record is from RNAcentral. Lineage: Eukaryota; Metazoa; Chordata; Mammalia; Rodentia; Muridae.
UGGAAGGGAAGCAGGCUCGGCUAAC